RNAcentral lists this ribosomal RNA (525 nucleotides) under uncultured bacterium. Its description in RNAcentral is "partial 16S ribosomal RNA". It matches the Rfam family "Bacterial small subunit ribosomal RNA", at positions 355 to 889 of the family's 1533-position model. The record is from RNAcentral.
UGGGGAAUAUUGCACAAUGGGCGCAAGCCUGAUGCAGCAACGCCGCGUGAGGGACGACGGCCUUCGGGUUGUAAACCUCUUUUAGUAGGGAAGAAGCGAAAGUGACGGUACCUGCAGAAAAAGCACCGGCUAACUACGUGCCAGCAGCCGCGGUAAUACGUAGGGUGCGAGCGUUGUCCGGAAUUAUUGGGCGUAAAGAGCUCGUAGGCGGUCUGUCGCGUCUGCUGUGAAAACCCGAGGCUCAACCUCGGGCCUGCAGUGGGUACGGGCAGACUAGAGUGCGGUAGGGGAGAAUGGAAUUCCUGGUGUAGCGGUGGAAUGCGCAGAUAUCAGGAGGAACACCGAUGGCGAAGGCAGUUCUCUGGGCCGUAACUGACGCUGAGGAGCGGAAAGCGUGGGGAGCGAACAGGAUUAGAUACCCUGGUAGUCCACGCCGUAAACGUUGGGCGCUAGAUGUGGGGACCAUUCCACGGUUUCCGUGUCGCAGCUAACGCAUUAAGCGCCCCGCCUGGGGAGUACGGCCGC